Molecule: ribosomal RNA, 369 nt
Filed under: uncultured bacterium
Lineage: Bacteria
Description: bacterial SSU rRNA
Rfam family: Bacterial small subunit ribosomal RNA
Source: RNAcentral
AUGAGAGUGGCGCAACGGGUGCGUUACACGUGAAGACUUACCCUCUAUGUGGGGGAUAGCUCGCCGAAAGGUGAAUUCAUACCGCAUGUGGUCCUUGGACUCCUGUCUGAGGCACUAAAGCCGGGGAUCGUAAGACCUGGCGCAUAAGGAGAGCUUCGCGGCCUAUCAGCUUGUUGGUGAGGUAACGGCUCACCAAGGCUAGACGGGUAGCUGGUCUGAGAGGAUGAUCAGCCACACUGGAACUGAGACACGGUCCAGACACAUACGGGUGGCAGCAGUGUUCGAGAUCAUUCACAAUGGGCGAAAGCCUAGAUGGUGCACACGCCGCGUGGGGGAUGAAGGUCUUCGGAUCGUAAACCCCUGUCACCA